Molecule: ribosomal RNA, 403 nt
Filed under: uncultured bacterium
Lineage: Bacteria
Description: bacterial SSU rRNA
Rfam family: Bacterial small subunit ribosomal RNA
Source: RNAcentral
AUUGAACGCUGGCGGCAUGCUUUACACAUGCAAGUCGAACGGCAGCACGGGAGCUUGCUCCUGGUGGCGAGUGGCGAACGGGUGAGUAAUGCAUCGGAACGUGCCCUGAAGUGGGGGAUAACGUAGCGAAAGUUACGCUAAUACCGCAUAUUCUGUGAGCAGGAAAGCAGGGGAUCGCAAGACCUUGCGCUGAUUGAGCGGCCGAUGUCAGAUUAGCUAGUUGGUGAGGUAAAGGCUCACCAAGGCGACGAUCUGUAGCGGGUCUGAGAGGAUGAUCCGCCACACUGGAACUGAGACACGGUCCAGACUCCUACGGGAGGCAGCAGUGGGGAAUUUUGGACAAUGGGGGCAACCCUGAUCCAGCCAUGCCGCGUGAGUGAAGAAGGCCUCGGGUUGUAAAGGU